This 306-nucleotide long non-coding RNA is filed under the name Prunus persica (peach). Its description in RNAcentral is "long non-coding RNA (PPER_LNC000665)". Lineage: Eukaryota; Viridiplantae; Streptophyta; Magnoliopsida; Rosales; Rosaceae. The record is from RNAcentral.
UCAGCGACCAGUAAUAACUGGACACGUGGACAAAACAUAGCUUCGGCAAGGAAGCACUCGGCACCCAGGCCUGCCGACCGCUUUCUUAAAACGCAAAUCACUUAUUGGACACGUGGGGCACCCACAUUAACUGUCAACAGUCCCCACAUCGAAAAUCCUACACAAUAUGCAUGCCUCCCAUGGUUUAUAAAAAGGGGCAUAAGUCCCAAAAGGAAGGUAAUCUGAACUCUCGACAUACUGCCCUUAGAUCUGUUUAAUUCUCUUACCCAAUCAGCACUUACUUAAGCAUCGAAGAGCCUUCGGCCG